CUCUGGGUGUCAUGUAAACAGAUCUUUUGCCAACAUGAGUGCCGUCAGUUGAUUUAGUGGUUCGUUGGCAUACCAUCAGUUACCCAGCUGUGGUUUGGCCCCAGAAUAUCAACAGUGCCUGCACGGCAGGGGCCGGAGCUGUUAGAACCCCACUCUACAAAAUCCAUUUCUCCGCUGGAAUGAGGAGGACUGUCCAUAGAGAUUCCCCGCCGCUCCCCAAACACCUUCUCCUGCAGUUCAAUUAUGUC
Molecule: long non-coding RNA, 248 nt
Organism: Etheostoma cragini (Arkansas darter)
Lineage: Eukaryota; Metazoa; Chordata; Actinopteri; Perciformes; Percidae
Exons: 3
Source: RefSeq, a predicted model, not a curated record